This 900-nucleotide ribosomal RNA is filed under the name Eggerthellales bacterium. RNAcentral describes it as "bacterial SSU rRNA". It matches the Rfam family "Bacterial small subunit ribosomal RNA", at positions 1 to 918 of the family's 1533-position model. Lineage: Bacteria; Bacillati; Actinomycetota; Coriobacteriia; Eggerthellales. The record is from RNAcentral.
UUUAAAUGGAGAGUUUGAUCCUGGCUCAGGAUGAACGCUGGCGGCGUGCUUAACACAUGCAAGUCGAACGAUUAACCCUUCUUCGGAAGGUCAUAAAGUGGCGAACGGGUGAGUAACACGUGACCAACCUGCCUCUCACAUUGGGAUAACUUAGAGAAAUCUAAGCUAAUACCAAAUACUCUUGAUCUGCCGCAUGACGGAUCAAGGAAAGCUUUCGCGGUGAGAGAUGGGGUCGCGGCCCAUUAGGUAGUUGGUGGGGUAGAGGCCUACCAAGCCGAUGAUGGGUAGCCGGGUUGAGAGACCGACCGGCCACAUUGGGACUGAGAUACGGCCCAGACUCCUACGGGAGGCAGCAGUGGGGAAUUUUGCGCAAUGGGCGAAAGCCUGACGCAGCAACGCCGCGUGCGGGAUGACGGCCUUCGGGUUGUAAACCGCUUUCAGUGGGAAAGAUAAUGACGGUACCCACACAAGAAGCUCCGGCUAAAUACGUGCCAGCAGCCGCGGUAAUACGUAUGGAGCAAGCGUUAUCCGGAUUUAUUGGGCGUAAAGCGCGCGUAGGCGGCUUGUUAAGCAAGGUCUUAAAUCUUGGGGCUCAACCUCAAGCCGGAUCUUGAACUGGCAGGCUCGAGUAUGGUAGAGGAAAGUGGAAUUCCCAGUGUAGCGGUGGAAUGCGCAGAUAUUGGGAAGAACACCGAUGGCGAAGGCAGCUUUCUGGGCCAUUACUGACGCUGAGGUGCGAAAGCUAGGGGAGCAAACAGGAUUAGAUACCCUGGUAGUCCUAGCCGUAAACGAUGGGCACUAGGUGUGGGGAGGAUAACCUUUCCGUGCCGCAGCUAACGCAUUAAGUGCCCCGCCUGGGGAGUACGGCCGCAAGGCUAAAACUCAAAGGAAUUGACGGGG